Molecule: long non-coding RNA, 638 nt
Filed under: Canis lupus dingo (dingo)
Lineage: Eukaryota; Metazoa; Chordata; Mammalia; Carnivora; Canidae
Description: lncRNA (ENSCAFG00020027136.1)
Source: RNAcentral
AUGAUUUCCAAAAAGGGAGUGACAUUUGGGGCAGCUCUUGUCAUGCGCCCUCCCCAGCUUAGCAGAUCCGCCCAGGACAGCCGCGCCGCGCGUCAGGGACCCUCGCGGCGGCGGCCAAGGCCCUUGCUGACGCGCGGCCGGUCUUUUCUGGGCAGCGGGGGGCUCGCCACACCCCGCCCCCGGCCGGAGCCAGACCUUUACUUUAUUUGGUUCACUACGCGAAACGCCACCGUGAGCCACAAUCAAAAAAAAAAAAAAAAAAAAGUAAAAAAAAGAAAAAGCUACCAUUUGACGAUUCUGAUCUGGCCCCGAUGUUUUCCAACGGCCUCUGGGUUUGUAAGAAGAUACGGAGGUCCCGAAGCCCCUUUCCUGCGUGACGGUUGCAGGCUGCGCGUAAAGAGUUUCUCGCGUGCAAGCCCUGAGGACUCCGGACCGUGUUCCCGUGCUGGAGUCCUACCGAGCUUCCAGCACACAUAGUCUCUCUCUCAGGCUUUGGAGAACACGAGAGGCCCCAAACCAAGACUGUGCAACAAAAUGCUGAUUGAUCCAGACCCAGACCAUCCCUACUCCUACAAUUCACUUUUCUGCAGAACUCUUACUGGUGUGGCUAGUACUUCAAAAUCAUACAAUGAAAGAAG